GAUCAUGGCUCAGAACGAACGCUGGCGGCGCGUCUAAGCAUGCAAGUCGAACGGCAAGAGGUAGCAAUACCUCCUAGAGUGGCGGACUGGUGAGUAACACGUGGGUGACAUACCCUUCAGAUGGGGAUAGCUAUUAGAAAUAGUAGAUAAUACCGAAUACGAGCACAGGGGUUAGAGAUCUGUGAGGAAAGGAGCUAAGGCUCCGCUGAAGGAAUGGCCUGCGGCCCAUUAGCUAGUUGGUGAGGUAAGAGCCCACCAAGGCGAUGAUGGGUAUCCGGCCUUAGAGGGUGAACGGACACAUUGGGACUGAGAUACGGCCCAGACUCCUACGGGAGGCAGCAGCUAAGAAUAUUCCGCAAUGGACGAAAGUCUGACGGAGCGACGCCGCGUGGAUGAAGAAGGCCGGAAGGUUGUAAAAUCCUUUUGAAACUGAAGAAUAAGCGUUGUAGGGAAUGACAGCGUGGUGACAGUAGGUUUUGAAUAAGCAACGGCUAAUUACGUGCCAGCAGCCGC
This 513-nucleotide ribosomal RNA is filed under the name uncultured bacterium. RNAcentral describes it as "bacterial SSU rRNA". It matches the Rfam family "Bacterial small subunit ribosomal RNA", at positions 15 to 518 of the family's 1533-position model. The record is from RNAcentral.